GUCUGGUUUGAAGGUAAUGAAUUAUCUCACUUGGUUAACAGUCAGUUGCAGAUCUAACUCCUUGUUCUACUCCUUCCCCCUUUCUCACUACUGCGCUUGACUAAUCUUAA
Molecule: Y RNA, 110 nt
Organism: Papio anubis (olive baboon)
Lineage: Eukaryota; Metazoa; Chordata; Mammalia; Primates; Cercopithecidae
Rfam family: Y RNA
About the family: Y RNAs are components of the Ro ribonucleoprotein particle (Ro RNP), in association with Ro60 and La proteins. The Y RNAs and Ro60 and La proteins are well conserved, but the function of the Ro RNP is not known.
Source: Ensembl